GUAGAGUGAUCGAAGGAUGAAAAGCACUUUGAAAGAGAUUCAAACAGCACGUGAAAAUUGUUGAAAGGGAAGCGCUAGCAACCAGACUUGUUCUGUAAAGCUCAGCCCUCUGAAAAGAUGGUGUAUUCUUUUUCGAACAGGCCAACAUCAGUUUUGGCGGGUUGGAUAAAAGUCUGUGGAAAGUAGUUCUCUUCGGGGAAUGUUAUAGCCUGGGCAUAAUGCAGCCAGCUGGGACUGAGGAUUUGCGUCUUCGGACAAAGAUGUUGGCAUAAUGGUUGUUAGCGACCCGUCUUGAAACACGGACCAAGGAGUCGACCAAUUAAGCAAGCGUUUGGGUGUAAAACCCUUUGACGCGGAAUGAAAGUAAACGUAGGUGGGAAGCUCUCGGGCUGCACCAUCGACCGAUCUGAGUUCGCGAGGAUUUGAGUAUGAGUUUAAUUGGUCGGACCCGAAAGGUAAGACGGACCUAAACAAAAAUAUGUGAGAAAAUACUAACUUCUAUAAUAGAAGGUGAACUAUUCUUGGAUAGGUUGAAGUCAGGUGAAAACCUGAUGGAAGACCGCAGCGGUUCUGACGUGCAAAUCGAUCGUCAAAUCUGGGAAUAGGGGCGAAAGACUAAUCGAACCUUCUAGUAGCUGGUUCCUGUCGAAGUUUCCCUCAGGAUAGCAGCAACGAUAAUACAGUCUCAUGAGGUAGAGCAACGAUUAGAGGCCUUGGGGCUGAAACACCCUUAACCUAUUCUCGAACUCCGAAUAUGUGAGAAGUCCUUGUUACUUUAUUGAACGGGACAUUGGAGUCCGUGCUGGCA
Molecule: ribosomal RNA, 808 nt
Filed under: Thelotrema porinoides
Lineage: Eukaryota; Fungi; Ascomycota; Lecanoromycetes; Ostropales; Graphidaceae
Description: LSU rRNA
Rfam family: Eukaryotic large subunit ribosomal RNA
Source: RNAcentral